GAUCAUGGCUCAGGAUGAACGCUGGCGGCGUGCCUAACACAUGCAAGUCGAACGGAGCUGCUUUGAUGAAGUUUUUCGGAUGGAUUUAAAACAGCUUAGUGGCGGACGGGUGAGUAACGCGUGGGUAACCUGCCUCACACUGGGGGAUAACAGUUAGAAAUAGCUGCUAAUACCGCAUAAGCGCACGGUUCCGCAUGGAACAGUGUGAAAAACUCCGGUGGUGUGAGAUGGACCCGCGU
RNAcentral lists this ribosomal RNA (239 nucleotides) under uncultured bacterium. Its description in RNAcentral is "partial 16S ribosomal RNA". It matches the Rfam family "Bacterial small subunit ribosomal RNA", at positions 15 to 236 of the family's 1533-position model. The record is from RNAcentral.